RNAcentral lists this long non-coding RNA (574 nucleotides) under Mus musculus (house mouse). RNAcentral's name for it is "Hand2, opposite strand 1". The record is from RNAcentral. Lineage: Eukaryota; Metazoa; Chordata; Mammalia; Rodentia; Muridae.
CUCUUCUAGGAUUGGUUGUCCACUCAUAACCAUAAGAUAAUUAAAACGGGGGGGGGCAGGGUAAAAAAAAAACCCUUUUAUCAGCCAUAGGUUAAUGCAAGUGUUUAACAGAUGCUUCGCUAUUAAAAUAUUUCCCCCCAAUACUGAAGAAUCUUAAACCAGCAACCCUAACAGAGAUUGCGAAGAUUUUCAAAGUGGGGCACCUCGAUUUCUCGAAUCUGUGGUGUGGCGAAUAUCCGUGUUCCUCCUGCUUAACUAGCCUGUUUGGCAGGUCUGAUUCUAUUUAUUCUAAAGACAGAGUUGGAGAUGGGCUACCAUUGGUGUUGAUUGAGAUGACAAGCAGUCACCUGAGCCCAUACAGCUGGAUUGACAUAUGAGAAUCAGAGAAAUGAAUGAAAGAUUAGAGUGGGAGAAAGUGCUUGCUGCCAAGCUUGAUGACCUAAAUUGAAUACCUGGAACCUACACGACAGAAAGAGAGAGCUGACUGCUGAAAGAUGUCCUCAGAUCUUCACAUGUGCACAGUGGCACCUAUCCAACCAUGCACAUAGUAUAUUAAAAAUUAUUUUUUAAAAAA